GAUGAACGCUGGCGGCGUGCCUAAUACAUGCAAGUCGAGCGAACAGAUGAGGAGCUUGCUCCUCUGACGUUAGCGGCGGACGGGUGAGUAACACGUGGAUAACCUACCUAUAAGACUGGGAUAACUUCGGGAAACCGGAGCUAAUACCGGAUAAUAUAUUGAACCGCAUGGUUCAAUAGUGAAAGACGGUUUUGCUGUCACUUAUAGAUGGAUCCGCGCCGCAUUAGCUAGUUGGUAAGGUAACGGCUUACCAAGGCAACGAUGCGUAGCCGACCUGAGAGGGUGAUCGGCCCCACUGGAACUGGGACACGGUCCAGACUCCUACGGGAGGCAGCAGUAGGGAAUCUUCCGCAAUGGGCGAAAGCCUGACGGAGCAACGCCGCGUGAGUGAUGAAGGUCUUCGGAUCGUAAAACUCUGUUAUUAGGGAAGAACAAAUGUGUAAGUAACUAUGCACGUCUUGACGGUACCUAAUCAGAAAGCCACGGCUAACUACGUG
RNAcentral lists this ribosomal RNA (497 nucleotides) under uncultured bacterium. Its description in RNAcentral is "partial 16S ribosomal RNA". It matches the Rfam family "Bacterial small subunit ribosomal RNA", at positions 28 to 507 of the family's 1533-position model. The record is from RNAcentral.